UGGGGAAUAUUGCACAAUGGGGGAAACCCUGAUGCAGCAACGCCGCGUGAAUGAUGAAGGCUUUCGGGUCGUAAAGUUCUUUGAUUGGGGACGAUAAUGACGGUACCCAAAAAACAAGCCACGGCUAACUACGUGCCAGCAGCCGCGGUAAUACGUAGGUGGCGAGCGUUGUCCGGAUUUACUGGGCGUAAAGGAUGCGUAGGUGGAAAUUUAAGUGGGAUGUGAAAUCCCCGGGCUCAACCCGGGAACUGCAUUCCAAACUGGGUUUCUAGAGUGCAGGAGAGGAAAGCGGAAUUCCUAGUGUAGCGGUGAAAUGCGUAGAUAUUAGGAAGAACACCAGUGGCGAAGGCGGCUUUCUGGACUGUAACUGACACUGAGGCAUGAAAGCGUGGGGAGCAAACA
This 402-nucleotide ribosomal RNA is filed under the name uncultured Eubacteriales bacterium. RNAcentral's name for it is "bacterial SSU rRNA". It matches the Rfam family "Bacterial small subunit ribosomal RNA", at positions 355 to 774 of the family's 1533-position model. The record is from RNAcentral. Lineage: Bacteria; Bacillati; Bacillota; Clostridia; Eubacteriales.